GUGAGUGUAGCUCAGUGGACAGAGCUCCGGGCUGUGGCCCCGGCUGUCGUGGGUUCAAAUCCCUCCACUCACCCCA
This 76-nucleotide transfer RNA is filed under the name Deltaproteobacteria bacterium. RNAcentral describes it as "tRNA-His". It matches the Rfam family "tRNA". Rfam says of the family: Transfer RNA (tRNA) molecules are approximately 80 nucleotides in length. Their secondary structure includes four short double-helical elements and three loops (D, anti-codon, and T loops). The record is from RNAcentral. Lineage: Bacteria; Pseudomonadati; Myxococcota; Myxococcia.